This 220-nucleotide long non-coding RNA is filed under the name Malus domestica (apple). RNAcentral's name for it is "long non-coding RNA (MDOM_LNC017332)". The record is from RNAcentral. Lineage: Eukaryota; Viridiplantae; Streptophyta; Magnoliopsida; Rosales; Rosaceae.
CGUUCUCUCUCUCUCUCCUAAAAAAAUGUGUUCAUACACAUAAAAUGUGUAGGAAAAUACUAGUAAUAAAAUAAAAUAAUAGUUUAAUUUGAUAUAUUGGGUAGAGAGUAAAACUUUAGAAGAUGUCAAAAUGCUACAGAGGCUAUCAAAUUUAAAUUUUAUGUUCAAAAUUUGAAAUAUCAUUUAGAAAUACUCUUAGUUGAUUUGUCCACUCCCUAGG